UGCCUCUGCUGGUGGUUUGUGAGUGAGCCUAGGAUAGGGAGAUGUGGCAUCCACCUGUGCGGUAGUGCAGCUUCUCUCCUUCCUUCAGCCCAGAGCUGGGCUCGUCACAUCCCUGCCCUCUAGAGAGAACAGCCUGCUUGUGCUAGCAGAGAAUGAGCUUUGGCACACAGGCACCCCGUGGUCACCCUUCUCAGACACCAGUGAAUGCCUGCGUGCAUGAGGUCACUGUGCUUCUUGUUUGCACUUUUCUCCUUGCAACACACUGGGCAGAACCAAAUUCUCAUUCCAUGUCUCUGCUUUGAUUGCUGGCUGCUCUCUCUCCUCUCUCCUUGAGCAUAGCAUGUGUAUUUGCCAGUAGAUCAUCCACUUGCACAUUCUUUCCUAUUAUUUUCUGCUUACUUACAAAUCUAGUUAGCUUUAUUUGUUAAACCUGCUAAUUGCCAAGACACCAGAUGUAUCAACUCUUACGAGGAAAACAAAAGAAAGUAAUGUCCUUAUUUACAUCUUUAGUUUACUUUCUAUUAUGAAAACAACUUCUGUGGUUCUGUAGUAUAAAGUCAGUUUCCCUGUGAGCAUCUGACCCCCUCUGGCUAAGAGCUGUCUGUACUGGUUAUGCUUAGGUUUAGGCUUAGGCUUGGAGGUGUCAGAGAUUGCACAGAAGUCAUAAUUUGAGAAUGAUGCAGAUCUAAUUACUUUGUCAGUGUAAACUGAAAAUGUAACAA
Long non-coding RNA from Tympanuchus pallidicinctus (lesser prairie-chicken), 722 nucleotides. RefSeq lists it as uncharacterized. The record is from RefSeq and is a predicted model, not a curated record. Lineage: Eukaryota; Metazoa; Chordata; Aves; Galliformes; Phasianidae. The transcript is spliced from 2 exons.